AGGGCACCACCAGGAGUGGAGCCCGCGGCUUAAUUUGACUCAACACGGGAAAACUUACCUGGUCCUGACACUAGAAGGAUUGACAGAUUGAUAGCUCUUUCUUGAUUUGGUGGAUGGUGGUGCAUGGCCGUUCUUAGUUGGUGGAGUGAUUUGUCUGGUUAAUUCCGAUAACGAACGAGACUCUAGCCUAUUAAAUAACACACAGAAUCUUGUCUUCUGUGGCGUUUCUUAAUGGGAUCAAGUGUGUUUAACGCUUUGAAACAGAGCAAUAACAGGUCUGUGAUGCCCUUAGAUGUUCGGGGCCGCACGCGCGCUACAUUGAGAGACAAAAUGAGUUUUCUAGCCUUUAAUAAGGCUAGUAAUCUUUGAAUGUUUUUCUUAAUGGGGAUAGGGGAUUGCAAUUGUGCCCCUUGAACGAGGAAUUCCCAGUAAGUGCUAGUCAUUAGCUAGUACUGAUUACGUCCCUGCCCUUUGUACACACCGCCCGUCGCUACUACCGAUUGAAUGGUUUAGUGAGAU
Molecule: ribosomal RNA, 519 nt
Filed under: uncultured eukaryote
Lineage: Eukaryota
Description: SSU rRNA
Rfam family: Eukaryotic small subunit ribosomal RNA
Source: RNAcentral